GCCAUACUAGGAAGUCAGCAGAGGAAACAGAGAAUGUUGUAACAGAAGAGAGGAUCCAGAAACAAUGGAGAAGACGAUCUUCCACCAUUGUGGUUAGAACAUGAGACUUAUUGCUCAAAGAGGGGAGUAUAUGGCUUGGAGCUGCCAUCCAAUAUGAAGAAAGAAUCUUUCCUUUAUUGGAGAAAGAAGCCAGUGAAUAAAGAGGAGGUUGCGGGGAAAGCAAAGGCCAGAUAAAAGCGUUUAAUCCAAAUCCCUCCCUUUGAGGUGAAACCCUGGAAGGUAGU
Molecule: long non-coding RNA, 284 nt
Filed under: Macaca mulatta (Rhesus monkey)
Lineage: Eukaryota; Metazoa; Chordata; Mammalia; Primates; Cercopithecidae
Description: lncRNA (ENSMMUG00000061052.1)
Source: RNAcentral